This 504-nucleotide ribosomal RNA is filed under the name uncultured bacterium. RNAcentral's name for it is "partial 16S ribosomal RNA". It matches the Rfam family "Bacterial small subunit ribosomal RNA", at positions 29 to 523 of the family's 1533-position model. The record is from RNAcentral.
AUUGAACGCUGGCGGCAGGCCUAACACAUGCAAGUCGAACGGUAGCACAGAGAGCUUGCUCUCGGGUGGCGAGUGGCGGACGGGUGAGUAAUGUCUGGGAAACUGCCCGAUGGAGGGGGAUAACUACUGGAAACGGUAGCUAAUACCGCAUAACGUCGCAAGACCAAAGUGGGGGACCUUCGGGCCUCACACCAUCGGAUGUGCCCAGAUGGGAUUAGCUAGUAGGUGGGGUAAUGGCUCACCUAGGCGACGAUCCCUAGCUGGUCUGAGAGGAUGACCAGCCACACCGGAACUGAGACACGGUCCAGACCCCUACGGGAGGCAGCAGUGGGGAAUAUUGCACAAUGGGCGCAAGCCUGAUGCAGCCAUGCCGCGUGUAUGAAGAAGGCCUUCGGGUUGUAAAGUACUUUCAGCGGGGAGGAAGGCGGUGAAGUUAAUAACUUCACCGAUUGACGUUACCCGCAGAAGAAGCACCGGCUAACUCCGUGCCAGCAGCCGCCGCCG